Long non-coding RNA from Salvia splendens (bonfire salvia), 350 nucleotides. RefSeq lists it as uncharacterized. The transcript is spliced from 3 exons. The record is from RefSeq and is a predicted model, not a curated record. NCBI's taxonomy places the organism in Eukaryota, Viridiplantae, Streptophyta, Magnoliopsida, Lamiales, Lamiaceae.
AAAUUCACAAAUCACAAGAAGUGCAGCAAGAGAGGAAGGAGUGGCGGCGAGCUUAAGGGCAGUCCGGCGUUCGAAGGAGUCGUCGAGAAAGAGGUUAUCUCCGCGAGCUAAGGUCGGAGUCAGGAAAAAUCAAGCUAAGAAGUUUAAGCAAACGAGGUUGAGCAGUGAUGACGGCGGGCGGUGUUGAGCAUAGACGAUGAAGAUCCUUCGAUAGAAUAGUACUCGGAUGCGCCGUGUCUCCAUACACGACGUUAUCUGCUCUUGACUCUUCCGCUGCAAAGUAAAAGUCGAGUUUAAAAUCUUUGUAUCAUGCACUCUGAUAUAGAUAAAUUCGAGUUAUUUCAGUUCAA